This 277-nucleotide small RNA is filed under the name Singulisphaera acidiphila DSM 18658. RNAcentral describes it as "5' ureB small RNA". It matches the Rfam family "5' ureB small RNA". The record is from Rfam by way of RNAcentral. Lineage: Bacteria; Pseudomonadati; Planctomycetota; Planctomycetia; Isosphaerales; Isosphaeraceae.
CCGUCUCAAUCUGCUGCGGACAGAUGAAGUGAAUGUGAGUGUCGAUGCCACCGGGCGUGACGAUCCGGCCUUCGCCGGCGAUGACCUCGGUCCCCGGCCCGAUGACGAGCCGAGGGUCGACACCCCGCUGAGUCAGGGGGUUACCCGACUUGCCAACGGCGACGAUCCGUCCGCCCCGGAUCCCGAUAUCCCCUUUGACGAUCCCCCAGUGGUCGAUAAUCACCGCGUUGGUGAUGACCAGGUCGCAGUGAUCCGGACCCAUCGGAUCAACGACCGG